RNAcentral lists this long non-coding RNA (342 nucleotides) under Bos taurus (domestic cattle). RNAcentral's name for it is "long non-coding RNA NONBTAT022792". The record is from RNAcentral. Lineage: Eukaryota; Metazoa; Chordata; Mammalia; Artiodactyla; Bovidae.
AUAUCAAUCCAUCAGGGACUCAAUUUCUGGGUGCCACCCCAAGAGGCAGUGGUUAGCUGGCCCUUAGAUCACACUCACAGAGCACAGAAGGGUUUGAAUUGAUCCCUAACACAGCAUUUAUCCUUUAACUUAAUUCAAAUUUGGCUCAUCAUGCUUUUUAAAAAAAUCAUUUACGCAAAGUGCAAACAGCACAAGGUAGAGAAAACAGUGGGAUUAAGAGACAAGUGACCCAGUGAGAAAGUUCAUUGACAUCUGUGACUUGCCAGUUUGGAAUAUAUUUACAACACGUAUCAAUGAAUUAUGCAAAUCAUGAAUAAUAAAGGACUGUGGAGUUAUUCUUUU